AUAGCCAUUAUACGGCGAAACUGCGAAUGGCUCAUUAUAUAAGUUAUCGUUUAUUUGAUAGCACAUUACUACUUGGAUAACCGUGGUAAUUCUAGAGCUAAUACAUGCUAAAAAUCCCGACUUCGGAAGGGAUGUAUUUAUUAGAUUAAAAACCAAUGCCCUCUGGGCUCUCUGGUGAAUCAUGAUAACUGCUCGAAUCGCAGGGCCUCGUGCCGGCGAUGGUUCAUUCAAAUUUCUUCCCUAUCAACUUUCGAUGUUUGGGUAUUGGCCAAACAUGGUUACAACGGGUAACGGAGGGUUAGGGCUCGACCCCGGAGAAGGAGCCUGAGAGACGGCUACUACAUCCAAGGAAGGCAGCAGGCGCGCAAAUUACCCAAUCCCGACACGGGGAGGUAGUGACAAUAAAUACUGAUACAGGGCUCUUUCGGGUCUUGUAAUUGGAAUGAGUACAAUUUAAAUCCCUUAACGAGGAACAAUUGGAGGGCAAGUCUGGCC
This 495-nucleotide ribosomal RNA is filed under the name Pleurocordyceps nipponica. RNAcentral's name for it is "SSU rRNA". It matches the Rfam family "Eukaryotic small subunit ribosomal RNA", at positions 66 to 568 of the family's 1831-position model. Lineage: Eukaryota; Fungi; Ascomycota; Sordariomycetes; Hypocreales; Polycephalomycetaceae. The record is from RNAcentral.